GUUCCAGUGAGGACUACUCCAAAAGAAUCCACAGUGGGGAUUAUUCUGUCCCUUUGCAAGGAACCUCCAUGGAAUCUUCCAGGCAUCCCAUCUCUCCUCCAUCAGGGGAAGGUCUUCAUCCAAAUACAUCCUCCCUCAAUCUGAAGGAUUGGAAGGGAAAGGCUCAAAGACAAGGCAUUCUCUAAUGCUGUCAUCGGAAUGCUAAUUAAAACAAGGAAAGGCUCAACAUCCUCUACCUAUUACAGGGUAUGGAAGAGCCCUAAUGGCGAAACGCGCAUUGGGACGUUAUUUUGUAUGGUGUUGGUACAGAUGAUAAGGGUAGACAUGCCUUGACACCAUUAGAUUAUACCACCCAUACAAGAUUUAUUUUAUCUCUUUUUACUAUUUCUUUAUUAUUUUUGUUUUUCGUUCUGUAGUUUGGUUUGACAAACUGCAUUUACUUUACUAAGAGGAGGGGAAGGGGUUACUAGCAUUUUUUAAGGGGUGCCCUCGAAGGCACAGCAGAGUAGGGGAGCUAGUCUUUCUAUUAUUAGCUUUUUCUCCUUAGAAACUAUUUAGCUCUUUUGCAGGACUUUAGUUUUGCUACAAUACAUUCUAUCAGUAACCAUCUUCCCCCUUCUGGUUUAUUAGACAAGCAGCAUAUGUAACUUGCAGCCUGUAGUUACAUUUGUUGCAAACCUUGUAUCUACUCCUUGCAGUAUUCGAUUUAAGCUUCUACCACUGAUUCACAG
Non-coding RNA from Pelobates cultripes (western spadefoot toad), 731 nucleotides. The record is from the annotation of a GenBank genome assembly. Lineage: Eukaryota; Metazoa; Chordata; Amphibia; Anura; Pelobatidae.